RNAcentral lists this ribosomal RNA (492 nucleotides) under uncultured bacterium. RNAcentral describes it as "partial 16S ribosomal RNA". It matches the Rfam family "Bacterial small subunit ribosomal RNA", at positions 29 to 507 of the family's 1533-position model. The record is from RNAcentral.
AGUGAACGCUGGCGGUAGGCCUAACACAUGCAAGUCGAACGGCAGCACAGUAAGAGCUUGCUCUUACGGGUGGCGAGUGGCGGACGGGUGAGGAAUACAUCGGAAUCUACUUUUUCGUGGGGGAUAACGUAGGGAAACUUACGCUAAUACCGCAUACGACCUACGGGUGAAAGCAGGGGAUCUUCGGACCUUGCGCGAUUGAAUGAGCCGAUGUCGGAUUAGCUAGUUGGCGGGGUAAAGGCCCACCAAGGCGACGAUCCGUAGCUGGUCUGAGAGGAUGAUCAGCCACACGGGAGAGGAGACACGGACAAGAGUCCUACGGGAGGCAGCAUUGGGGAAGAUUGGAGAAUGGGUGCAAGCCUGCUCCAGCUAGAACGCGUGGUUGAAGAAGAAAUUAGAGGUGUAAAGCACUUUUGUGGGGAAAGAAAAGCAGCAGGUUAAUAACCCGCUGUUCUGACGGUACCAAAAGAAGAAGAACCGGCUAAAAUAGUG